CUAACAAGGAUUCCCCUAGUAGCGGCGAGUGAAGAGGGAAGAGCCCAAGUUUGAAAGCUGGCGUUUGUAUUCAGGCGUCCGCAUUGUAAACUCGAGAAGUGUUAUCCGCGCCGGACCAGGUUCAAGUCCCUUGGAAUAGGGCAUCAUAGAGGGUGAAAGUCCCGUGCUUGAUCUGGAACCCCCGGGGCUUUGUGAUGCGCUCUCAAAGAGUCGAGUUGUUUGGGAAUGCAGCUCAAAAUGGGUGGUAAAUGCCAUCUAAGGCUAAAUAUCGAGGAGAGACCGAUAGCGAACAAGUACCGUGAGGGAAAGAUGAAAAGAACUUUGGAAAGAGAGUUAAACAGUACGUGAAAUUGCCGGAAGGGAAGGGUAGGAAGUCAGACAUGCCUUUGCAGAUUCAGCCUUGUCUUUGGACUUGGUGCAUUUUUGUAAUGGCAGGCCAGCGUCGGUUUAUGUCGCUGGAUAUAGGUUUAGGGAAUGUAGCUUUACCUUCGGGCAAAGUGUUAUAGCCCUUUACUGAGUACGGCGGUGUGGACUGAGGAACGCAGCGCACCCAUUAGGGCGGGCCUUCGGGCACCUUUGCGCUUAGGAUGCUGGCUUAAUGGCUUUCUGC
RNAcentral lists this ribosomal RNA (610 nucleotides) under Vankya heufleri. Its description in RNAcentral is "LSU rRNA". It matches the Rfam family "Eukaryotic large subunit ribosomal RNA", at positions 65 to 645 of the family's 3401-position model. The record is from RNAcentral. Lineage: Eukaryota; Fungi; Basidiomycota; Ustilaginomycetes; Urocystidales; Urocystidaceae.